RNAcentral lists this ribosomal RNA (443 nucleotides) under uncultured soil bacterium. RNAcentral's name for it is "bacterial SSU rRNA". It matches the Rfam family "Bacterial small subunit ribosomal RNA", at positions 26 to 518 of the family's 1533-position model. The record is from RNAcentral.
AGAACGAACGCUGGCGGCAUGCCUAAUACAUGCAAGUCGAACGAACUCUUCGGAGUUAGUGGCGCACGGGUGCGUAACGCGUGGGAAUCUGCCCCUUGGUUCGGAAUAACAGUUGGAAACGACUGCUAAUACCGGAUGAUGACGAAAGUCCAAAGAUUUAUCGCCAAGGGAUGAGCCCGCGUAGGAUUAGCUAGUUGGUGAGGUAAAGGCUCACCAAGGCAACGAUCCUUAGCUGGUCUGAGAGGAUGAUCAGCCACACUGGGACUGAGACACGGCCCAGACUCCUACGGGAGGCAGCAGUAGGGAAUAUUGGACAAUGGGCGAAAGCCUGAUCCAGCAAUGCCGCGUGAGUGAUGAAGGCCUUAGGUUGUAAAGCUCUUUACCCGAGAUGAUAAUGACAGUAUCGGAGAAUAAGCCCCGGCUAACUCCGUGCUAGCAGCCGC